RNAcentral lists this ribosomal RNA (292 nucleotides) under uncultured bacterium. RNAcentral describes it as "partial 16S ribosomal RNA". It matches the Rfam family "Bacterial small subunit ribosomal RNA", at positions 505 to 796 of the family's 1533-position model. The record is from RNAcentral.
GUGUCAGCCGCCGCGGUAAUACGGAGGGUGCAAGCGUUAUCCGGAUUCACUGGGUUUAAAGGGUGCGUAGGUGGGAAUGUAAGUCAGUGGUGAAAUCUCUGAGCUUAACUCAGAAACUGCCAUUGAUACUAUGUUUCUUGAAUUUUCUGGAGGUCAGCGGAAUAUGUCAUGUAGCGGUGAAAUGCUUAGAUAUGACAUAGAACACCAAUUGCGAAGGCAGCUGACUACAGGGAUAUUGACACUGAGGCACGAAAGCGUGGGGAUCAAACAGGAUUAGAUACCCCGGUAGUCC